Molecule: ribosomal RNA, 466 nt
Filed under: uncultured bacterium
Lineage: Bacteria
Description: bacterial SSU rRNA
Rfam family: Bacterial small subunit ribosomal RNA
Source: RNAcentral
ACCAGACUCCUACGGGAGGCAGCAGUGAGGAAUAUUGGUCAAUGGGCGCGAGCCUGAACCAGCCAAGUCGCGUGAGGGAGGACGGCCCUACGGGUUGUAAACCUCUUUUGCCGGGGAGCAACGGGCGCCACGUGUGGCGUCACUGAGAGUACCCGGAGAAAAAGCAUCGGCUAACUCCGUGCCAGCAGCCGCGGUAAUACGGAGGAUGCGAGCGUUAUCCGGAUUUAUUGGGUUUAAAGGGUGCGUAGGCGGGCAUUUAAGCCGGCGGUCAAAUGUCGGGGCUCAACCCCGGCCUGCCGUCGGAACUGGGUGCCUUGAGUGGGCGAGAAGUAUGCGGAAUGCGUGGUGUAGCGGUGAAAUGCAUAGAUAUCACGCAGAACCCCGAUUGCGAAGGCAGCAUACCGGCGCCCUACUGACGCUGAGGCACGAAAGCGUGGGUAUCGAACAGGAUUAGAUACCCGCGUAC